This 229-nucleotide long non-coding RNA is filed under the name Gossypium barbadense (sea-island cotton). Its description in RNAcentral is "long non-coding RNA (GBAR_LNC018544)". The record is from RNAcentral. Lineage: Eukaryota; Viridiplantae; Streptophyta; Magnoliopsida; Malvales; Malvaceae.
GAAAAUAAAAAUUUUGAAAACUGAUUCGGUUUGUGAUAUUUAUAGCAAUAAACCUUAGAUAGAAAUCGUACAUGUGUUUUUGGAUAAGUAGAUCCUUGAUGUUUUCUAGCUUUCAACCAAACGAUCUUCUCUUUCAUUCUUGUACCACGAACUGUUUCAAGUGUGGGCUCAAACCAAUUGAAUCAAAAUACAAAACUAGAAAAUUUUUUCCUUUUGAAGUGAAAACAAA